Molecule: long non-coding RNA, 1333 nt
Filed under: Homo sapiens (human)
Lineage: Eukaryota; Metazoa; Chordata; Mammalia; Primates; Hominidae
Description: non-protein coding lnc-PANK1-2:14
Source: RNAcentral
AGUAGUGCGCUUUCUCGCGGCUGUCAUAAGUACCACGCUGUUGACUGGGACACCGAUCUCCAAUUCUGUCCUUGAGGCAAUAAAGAUGUGGCGAAGGCCCGAGGUGAGGCCACUGCCACUGCACUUAGUCCUGCGACUCCCCUAAGGACGGGCCGAGGAAUGGCGGGCUAGCCACUUCCCAGUCCUGUCCCUACGGGGCAGAAAAAGGCUCGGCAUCCCGGGAUCCGGAGGGUCACUUCCCUCGCUGCAUCCCCAUUGUGCAACUGCCAGUCUAAAAAUUGAUAUAGGUAAGCUUAUGAAUGCUAAAACUAAUGAAUGCAAGAUGCUAAAACAAACAAUUAACUGAAAGGUUGUAGGGAAGAGGAUGUUAGUAUCUCAAAGAAUCACCCUACAGAUCAUUUCUUAUUAUAAAGGGAAAAUAGAAUUUUACACUGAAGAGAUUUAUUAGACAUACCUUAACCAAGUGAAGAUACUUAGCAUCGCUAAUAUCACCCGAUAGUAUUUGUGCUAGAAAUGUUUGACAUUAAUCAUGAGGAAACAAUCAGAAAAAAACAAUGUAGAAUAUUCUACAAGACAACAGGCCUAGGCUCUUCAAAAAUGUCAGUGUCAUGACAGGAAAAAGAAAAAAACGAAGUGGAAAAUUACUUUAGUCGAGAGUCAAAAGAAACCAAAUGAAAUUUGUGAAUCUUGGCUGGUUCAUAGUUUUUAAAAAAAAAAAAAAACUUCGAAAGACAUUUGUGGACAACUGGGGAAAUUUAAAUAUGAACUACAUAUUAGAUGAUAUUGAAUCAGUUUUAAAUUGAUUGCAUGUGAGAAUUAAUUUGUGAUUAAGUGGAAGAAUGCCUUUGUUUUUGGAAGGCGCUUGCUAAAGUAAUUAGCAGCAAAGUGUCACAGUGUUUGCGGCUUACCUUCAAAAGAUAUGGCAAAAAAAUAGAGAAAGCAAAUGUGGCAAAAUAUUAGUAAUUGGUGAAUCUAGUUGAAGGGUAUAAUGGUGUACAUCGUACCAGUCUUGCAACUUUCUAAAAUAACAGAUUUUAUAAAAUAAAAAGAGGAGGGGGGAAAAGGAAUAGAAUUCUGAUCUUUACCAUGGCCUCCCAGGUCCUGCACAAUCAAGUGUCAGCCGACCUCACUCCCCACUAACUGUACAGUUAAUCUCCUGGAGAAACUAGAGGCAGCCAGGGAGGAUGCUGUUGAACCAGUUAGGAGGCUGUUGCAAGAGAUCCCAGGAAAAGAUAAUGAUAAUGUGGACUUGGAAGAUGGCAGAGGAGUUGCAGAAAAGUAUCCAGAUUUUAAAGGUACUUUUUCCGACGUUUUUCAUUUCAGCACCAGCUGC